Anas platyrhynchos (mallard) is the source of this 915-nucleotide long non-coding RNA. RefSeq lists it as uncharacterized. The record is from RefSeq and is a predicted model, not a curated record. Lineage: Eukaryota; Metazoa; Chordata; Aves; Anseriformes; Anatidae.
CAGUCCCAUGUCCUUCAGGAUGGGGCUUUCAGGGAAAGUUAGCCGUCCCUACAGCAGCUGGCAUCCUGAGCAUGCAGGAGUCAUCCUGUGGAGAUGCCUUCAGGUCUGGGCCUUCUCUGCCGAAACCAGCUCUGAUGUUUCUUGGGAGGCGCCAACAAGCUGACUGCUCCAAAUUCAGCGUAAACCAAGUUACGCCAUUUCUUAAUCUACGGAGACCUGGAAAAAGAGCAGGGCUGAGAUCUUCUGUGAAGAGAAGCCAAAGGGCAAAACAGUGCCUGUGAAAUCUGUCAACGUGGUGCACACAAGGCUGUGGGCAGUGCAAUCCCCCUGGAAGGAAAAGCCAACAUAAAUUCCGUAUUUUAUGGCUAAAAUGGCCUCUAUUUGCAGUUCUGCCCCCAUGACCAUGGUUUGAACGACUGCUUUCUCUGAUUCAAGAACAACUGCUUUGUGUAAGCAAAAUGAACCCGUUUUCACUGUGAUCCUUCACAGUCCCUCACACUUGUGCUGGAUGAGCUUGCACCAGAAAAAAACGAUAUUAAUAAGGAUAAGGAUAAGAAUAAAGAAGAGUCUCACAGUGAAUCCUGUGUGGGCUGCCUGCUGAGCCCCAUCUUGCCUGUCUCAUUGUGCUGGCAGGAGGCCACCACCAAGGGCAGGAACAGCAGAGCCUCCGGGCCAAGGCUGGGCUCUGCCAGUGGGGUUGGUGGGUGUCAGCCCUCAGCGGUGGGCUGGCAUGGGCAGGACCCUGGCCGAGGGUGUGAGCCGUGGCAUAGGAGCGUGCCCUGGUGUAGCUCUGGGUGGCAACGCUUCUGUGGGGUUCACACCACACCACACCAACCAUAGAAGUUGUUUUGAGCUUCAUAGUUAGAAGAAUAGCGUCAAUGUGGGUUUGGUGGUUCACAGCAAGCACCUGGAGAA